RNAcentral lists this long non-coding RNA (3927 nucleotides) under Medicago truncatula (barrel medic). Its description in RNAcentral is "long non-coding RNA (MTRU_LNC001285)". The record is from RNAcentral. Lineage: Eukaryota; Viridiplantae; Streptophyta; Magnoliopsida; Fabales; Fabaceae.
AGGUAACUCUCUCUCUCUCUCUGCUUGCAUUUGGUCAAAUAACCUCAGCUUAUGGUUGUUUAUUCUCUUGUUUCAUAUGGAAUAAUAAACAGUCUAUAACAAGCUGAAAGAUAUAGAUACAAUAGACCUCAAGUGGUGUCCAAUUAUACCCGAUAAGGCAAGUUUUUCUCUUAAACUUUCAUAAAUUUAGUUUCUAUGUGCAUAUUUUAAUUCUUUAGGAUUCUCUCUAACAGCAUGCAUACUUGAAGCAUGAGAAAAAGUUUGCUGAACUCUUCAAGAAGCAUGAAGAGAAAAAGAAGCGGUGGAUGCUGAUUGAAGAAGAAAAAGAGCGUCUUGGGAAAGGGAAAAGAGGAGCUGUUACUGAUAAGUUGAAACCAUGUUAUGCUAUGCUCUUGGCCUGAGAAUAGAGGAGCAGUUACUGAUAGGUUGAAACCAUGUUAUGCUAUGCUCUUGGCCUGAGAAUUGUGUCAGUCUUUUGUGCAAGAAUGUAGAAGAAUUAUUAUAAUUCUAAUUGUGUUAUGUUUCUUUGUUUUGUAUUCUGUGUUGGAUUUCAGUUCUGCUAAUCUUUGUGGCACGUACUGCUUCAUUGCCUGAUGUUGCAUAAUACAGAAUAGUGUUGGCAUGUUGAGAUGAUCAAAUUAAUAUUAACAAUAAAAGAAAAAUGACAAGACUGUUUAGUUGGAUUACAAUUGCACAAAACAUGACCUCGUCGCCUCAUUUUUUUUAUUUUUUUUUUGGCUAAGAAUGAAUUAAGCCAAAUUAUGAAAUUAAUAAAGAAAGAAGAGUUCUUUCUACAAACAAGUUUGUCAAUAGGUACAUUCCGUCCUCUGCAAAACCAUGCAAUUAUGCAGAUUCAUCUUUUUUUUACACAAGACAAGGAAAGAAAUUUCUGAACAAAAUAAAAUGAGAAAUUCAUAAAGCAAGGCCAUUUCUUCUGAACUUGAAAAGUUGAUCUAUUAUGAAGAUUGGGGAGAACACAAGAAACGAGACAAAUGUAAGAACCUGUUCAAUUCGGUAACACGGAGCAAGAUGGCUACAAAUAAUAUUUAGGAACUAAAAAAUGUGAUUUAUUUUCAUUGGAACUAAAAACAAAACUGCAGAUAUUUAUAGGGACCAAAAACUUAAUUAACCCUUUUAAAAACCGUUUUUUGGAUCCUCCAUUUAUUUUAUUUUCUUCAUAAAUUUGGGUCUUUUUUGAUGAUGUGACAUUUUUUAAGAGGAAAUAAACGCUUAUAGCAUCUUAUUUUUUUAUGAUGUUAACUCGCUUAAAGUAGUCGGCAAUUUUUUCCGAGUUAAAAUAUAAUAAAUAUUGUUUUAAAAAAAAUUAAACUAACUCAUUCAAAUUAAUACUGGAAAAAAUCGAACCUCAUACUUUAAGAAGGGUCACGCUUUAAAGUUCACGACCAACUUAUUGUUAAGUUGGGACAAAAGAAUAUUAUACUUUUAAAAUGGAGACCGAAACUUUUUUUUUUUAAUAGAAAAGACACCGAAACUUGUUUUUAAUAGAAAAGACAAAAUGCAUUUAAUAUUAUUUUCAAAAUAUUAAAUCUUUCUUUUCUUUUUAUACAUUUGUUAACAAUUCACAUUGUCAAUGAAGUAUUAUCCAGAAAACCUUCAUUAUAAAUAUAAGAGUAAAUUACACCCUCUUCCCAUUAAAGAUAUUUGAAUUACAUUUCCCUCCCCUUUUAUAUUAAAAUAUACACUCCCCUCCCUUAAAAAGAAAAAUUUAUACUUGUGAAAUGGUUUAGUUAAUUUUGAUAUGGUUCGAUUCGGUUACUGGUUAAUUUUGCCCACCCCUACACUUGGGUUAAUUCAUGCUUGAUUUAAGUUACGUAGAGAUUAACACUAGAAUUAAAUCACGUUGCGUGAUUUAACACACCUAAAAUAUACACUAGUGUGAUUUAAAUCACAUAAGGACAUUUUAAAUAUUUACUUUGGCAAUGAGCAAAACUGUAAAGAGCAAAAUUCUACACUUAAAUCCCGAAUUGGGCCGAGUAACCAACCCAUUUUGCUAUAUAUAUAUAUAUAUAUAUAUAUAUAUAUAUAUAUAUAUAUAUAUAUAUAUAUAUAGACUUGUCUAUUUCGUUCAAUAGUUUGCCGAUAUCCACUCGCUGAUCGCGUUUGUUUUCAGAGUUCGUUCAUUCGUUUUCUACCUUCUUCAUUGGAUUUGUAUACCUCCCUCAUCUCCAUCAUGUUUGAGGUAUUUUCAUUCCUUUUCAAUUCUGUUUGAUUCGACUCUUCUCAAAUUUGUGAGAUUAGGGUUUGUAACUUUUGAAUUGAUUUUUUUUAUGUGAAAUAGAAUGUUUUGUGAUGGAAUUAAACCUUCCAUUACACUGAUUCUUUGCUCGUAUGUUUCUUUAUCAAUUCAAUCUGUUCUGUGUUGUGUUGUUUGGAGAUAUUCCAAUCUUAUCUUAUUUGCGGGAUUAGGGUUUCAAACCUUUGAAUUGGGGAUUUCAAUUUUGUGUGUGACAAUCUGAUUUUCUUUUUAUUUGCAAGGGUUUUUGUUGAUUGGCUAACAUCUAUGAAGCCCCGAUACCGAUACGAUACGGCCUCGAUAAAUUUAAAAUUAAUAGUAUAAGUGCACAAUGUAUAAACAUAACUAAAAAUGAUAAUAAACAAUGAAAAUGAUCAAAACAAGUGACAAUUACAUAUUUUUUCCGCACAAAUUAGAUAGAAUAUAGCUAAACAUCAUUAGUACCAUCCAAAGAGAACAACAUAAGUACUAUAAAAACAGCAGAAGAAACAUAACAUUAGAGAGAAGAGAAACAGAGUAGAAUUCAAUCAGUGAUAAUGGUUAGAAGAGAGAAUAGCUAUUGCUAUGUGGUGACGAGAAACCCUAUUUUUUUUUUUGUUAGAAGAGACAAUAUGAUUUUGGUAGCGCUUCCAGACUUGAUAGGUGUCCGAGUAUAAGUAAGCUGUGUCGGAGUACAAGUUAGUCGUAUCCGACACGUAUCGGACAUUUUUUUUCCUUCAAAAAAUAAAUAUUAACUGCCCGAUGCUUUUCUGAUACGCGUAUCGGGACGUAUUCGACACGUAUUGGUCAUUGUUUUUCAAAAAAAUAAAUAUUAAUUGUCCGAUACUUUUCCGAUACGCGUAUCGAGGCGUAUCGGUAUCAGAUACAUGUCGGAUACGAUACUUCACCAUUUUUGGAGUAUCGGGGCUUCAGAGGCUAACAUAAAUUAUUCUAUUUGUAACUUAUGGUUUCUUUUUAUUAUUUGUAAGAGAAACUUAUAUGCUACAUAUGUUCCUCAUUUUAUCGUUAUUAUUUUUAUAUUUGUGUUUGCCACUUUUAAUUAAUUAGUUGUUCUCUGUUGGAAUUUAUUCAAAGGAACAUUACCAGCACCCUAGACUCUCCCCAAUGGGCCCUUCACGAUUGCCGCUGCCACCGCAAAUGGGUAAUUCAACCUAAUCCUAUUUUCAUACAAGUAUUAUUUUGCUGUUUGAUUUGAUGAAUCUCAAAUAAUAACUUCACCCUUUGGAUUCUUAUUAUUUCAUCAAUACAAUAGAAAGAAAACUUCUUCAUGAGAAGAAGCGGAAGGAGCAAGAAGUAGAAAGCACAAAGGAGGAUCUUCUCCAUGGGAAGAAGCCAAAGGAGCAAAAAGUAGAAAGUACCGAGGGAGAUCUGCUUUAUGAUGGUGAGAAGCCAAAAGAAUUCGAAUGCCCGGUUUACGCAGAGACAUUGAAAGGUAACUCUCUCUCUCUCUCUGCUUGCAUUUGGUCAAAUAACCUCAGCUUAUGGUUGUUUAUUCUCUUGUUUCAUAUGGAAUAAUAAACAGUCUAUAACAAGCUGAAAGAUAUAGAUACAAUAGACCUCAAGUGGUGUCCAAUUAUACCCGAUAAGGCAAGUUUUUCUCUUAAACUUUCAUAAAUUUAGUUUCUAUGUGCAUAUUUUAAUUCUUUAGGAUUCUCUCUAACAGCAUGCAUACU